Molecule: long non-coding RNA, 6420 nt
Organism: Brassica napus (rape)
Lineage: Eukaryota; Viridiplantae; Streptophyta; Magnoliopsida; Brassicales; Brassicaceae
Exons: 4
Source: RefSeq, a predicted model, not a curated record
AGAGUUUUCUCCUGAAGAUUUGUCUCUCGAAUUUUCUGGAGAUACACACUUUUCCAGAGAUUUUAAGACCCAAAGUUCACGGCAUUCUUAAAAUAGUAAGUUCUUUCUCCUCUUCGAUUUCUCUUGAUGUUGAAUUUGUCUUGUUGGGUUCCGUUCAUAUCUUAUUUAAUUAGGGUUUGAUGCAAUCGAUUGGGUUUUUACGUUUUAGUUUUAGGGUUUCAAGUUUCCUUAAUCGUUCAUGUAUUUACUGUUGCAGUGAUCUUGGAAAGCGCCUGAAUUCGUCUGGAAUCAUCAUUGAGGCAACGUCUCUGUCUACGCGAAUUGUUUUUGUUCUUCUAUCGUUGAGUAUACGAAGACGAACAUGUCUUACGAACUGUAUAUAUUUUAGCAAUUGACAUGAAAUUGAACAAUAAUAUUUGAUUUACAGUAUAACUUAGAACUUGGCCGUGCUUUAGAUUUGGGCUACUUGAUGUUCUGUUAUCUAUAUCUUGAUCACUUGAAAUUGGUUUGUAUAAAGCUAUUGCUUGUAUACAUACGUUUCUUUCUUAUGUAUUCUUUGUACAAGUGGACAAUUACAUUUCACUUUAGCCUCUUUCUCUCUCUGUUUUUUUGUUUUACAGAAUGUGGAUGUGGAGAAACCAUCAUUGACAGAUUGAUGAUAAGUGUGAAUCUUUGAGUUCAACGGCCACAAAAAGCAGAUAAGUUCUCUUACAUUACGUUUUUUUAUCAGACUCCAAAAAGAUCAUAGGCAGACACUAAUCUAAUAGUGUUCUAGCCAGAUUCUUAUUUUGGGGACAUAUUGUCCCGAGUCCCUGUUGCGUGAAAGCUAGCUUAGUCCCAAUAAAAAAAUCUAAAUCCAUCUCCCUAGAAACUGUUGGUUGGUUGGUAGUGCAAAGAGAUGUUUGGCGGGGGAUGGAGAGUAACACCUACUUUAGUACCCACGGCUUUUUACAAAACAACCAUCGGCUUAAAAUAGUCUUAAGACAGAAAAUGACCAUGGCUAUGAAAGGACCAUCGGCUUACAAUGUCUUAAGGCAAAAGGCUAUGAAUUGGUUAUGAGCUUGUUGGAUGGAAAUAACGAUCACAAGUGAUGAAAACUACUUGUCCCGAGUCCCGUUGCGUGAAACUGUUGGAUGGAUAUAACGACCACAAGUGUUGAAAACUACUUGUCCCGAGUCCCGUUGCGUGAAAUAACGAACAAAGUUAUGAAAAGUAGUAAACCCACGGCUUUAUUAAUAUUGGAAUGCACGGUUGGAGAGAAGUCUUCAGACAAAGACUACUUUAAAUCUAAACCAUGUCCAUUGCUUAACCACAACUCAAUGAAGCAAAGGAUGUUUGAGGGUGCAAAGUGUGAGAAAAUUUAGUACCCACGGCUUAAAAAACAAGUCUUUAGACAGAGACUGUGAUUGUAAGAAACUCUUUAGACAGAGAAUAUAUUCAUUACAUUAGUACCCACGGCUUGCAUGAAAGUCUUUUGACAAAGACUGUGAUUGAAAACGUCUUCAUCGCAUUUGUACCCACGGCUUGCAAAAAAAAAUCAUUUGACAAAAACUGUGAUUGAGAACGUCCUCAUCACAUAUAUACCCAUGGCUUACAAAAAAAAGUCUUUAGACAGAGACUGAUGAAAAUGUAUUCAUCACAUUAGUACCCACGGCUUAGAAAAUACCAACGCCUUUGCAAAAAAAGUUUAAGACAGGCUAUGAGAUCGUCCCAAUUGCUCUAAAAACUAUUGGUUGGUAGUGCAUGUCUAUGCGAGAGAUGUUUGGGGAUGGUAAGUAAAACUUACUUUCGUACCCACGGCUUUACAAAAUUUCUUCAGACAGAACAUGACUAUGUCUAAGGCUAUGAGAUCGUUGAAAAAAUUCCUUAACACAAAGGCUAUGAAUUGGUUUUAAAUAACGAUCACAAGUUCUGAAAAGUAAGUAAACCCACGGCUUUAUCAAUAUUGUUAUGUACGGUUUGAAAGAAGUCUUCAGACAAAGACUACUUUAAAUCUAAACCAGGUCCAUUGCCUAACCACAGCUCUAUGAAGCAAAUGAUGUUUGAGGGUGCAAAGUGUGACACAAUUUAGUACCAACGGCUUAAAAAACAAGUCUUUAGAUAGAGACUGUGAUUGUAAGAAAGUCUUUAGUACCCACGGCUUUUUAUAAAACAACCAACGGCUUAAAAUAGUCUUAAGACAUAAAAUGACUAUGGUUAUGGCUAUGACUAUGAAAUUGAUGGAUGGAUAAAGAACACCGGCUUACAAAAUGUCUUUAAGACAAAUAGGCUAUGAAUUGGUUAUGAGCUUGUUGGAUGGAAAUAACGACCACAAGUUAUGAAAACUAAUUGUCCCUGAGUCCCGUUGCGUGAAACUGUUGGAUGGAUAUAACGACCACAAGUGAUGAAAACUAAUUGUCCCGAGUCUCGUUGCGUGAAAUAACGAGUUUAGUGCCCACGGCUUAAAAAACAAGUUUUUUGAUAGAGGCUGUGAUUGAAAACGUCUUCGUCAUGUUAGUACCAACGGCUUAAAAAAACAAGCCUAGUACCCACGGCUUAAAAACAAGUCUUUAGAAAGAGACUGUGAUUGUAAGAAAGUCUUUAGACAAAGACUGUAUUUAUCACAUUAGUAGACACAGUUGCCAAAAAAGGCUUUUACACAAAGACUGAUUGAAAACGUCUUCAUCACAUUAGUACCCACGGCUUGCAAGAAAGUCUUUUGACAAAGACUGUGAUUGAAAAUGUCUUCAUCGCAUUUGUACCCACGGCUUUGCAAAGAUUGUGAGUGAACACAUCUUCAUCACAUUUUAGUACCUACGGCUUGCCAAAAAAAAGUCUUAAGACAAAGACUGUGAUUGAAUAUGUCUUCAUCACAUUUGCAAGAAAAACUCGUCUUCAUCACAUUUGUACCGAAGGCUUGCAACUGUGAUUGAAAACGUCUUUGUGACAUUAGUAUCCACGGCUUGCAUAAAAGGUCUUUUGGCGAAGACUUCAUCACAACAGUACCCAAGGCUUGCACGAAAGUUCUUUAGACAAAAGACUUCUUGAAUCUAAACCGGAUUCAUUGCUUACCCACGUCUAUGUGAAGCAGAUGAUGUUUGGGGAUGCCAAGUGUGAUUAGUACCCACGGCUUGCAAGACUAUAUUUAGAGUGCAAAAGUCUUACGACAAGACUAUACAUUGAUUUUCAACUUUGUUGGAUGGAAAUAACGACCAACGGCUUUAUAAAAGUCAAUCAACGACUUAACAUGGAGUCUCAAGGCAAAUGCUAUGAAUGGAACACACAGCUUGCGAAUCUUUCGUUGGAUGGAAAAACGACCAACGGUUCAGAAAACGUCUUUUAAGGCACAAGACUACGAGUUGAAAAACAUUUAUAGUAGCCCACGACUUAUAAAAGGUUGGAUUCAUUAAGUACUCACGGCUUAUAAAAACAACUUUAGGCAAAAACUCUAAAUCUAAACCAGAUCCAUUGCUUUAUCCACAGCUCUAUAAAGCAAAAAGAUGUUUGAAGAUGCCAAGUGUGACAAAAUUUAGUACCCACGGCUUAAAAAAAAACAAAUCUUUAGACAAAGACUGAUUGAAAAAACGUUUUCAUUACGUUAGUACCCACGGAUUCAAAACAAGUCUUGAGACAAAGACUGUGUGAAUCAUCAAAUUAGUACCCACGGCUUGCGAUAAAGGUCUUUAAACAAAGACUGUGAUUGAAAACUUUUUCAGCACAUUUGUACCCACGGCUUUGCAAAAUGGACUGAUUAAAAUAUCUUCAUCACAUUAGUGCUCACGGCUUGAAAAAGAGGUCUCUUUAGACAAAGACUGUGAUUAAAUAAGUUUUCAUCACGUUUGUACCCACGGCUUAUGAAAAUAGUAUUAAGACAAAGGCUGGUAACUGAAAACAGAUGCAUGCCAAAAAGGUCUCUUUACACAAAGACUAUGAAUUGGUUUUGAACUUGUUGAAUGGAAAUAACGAUCACAAGUUAUGCAAACUAAUCGGAAAAUCUUGCUCCCACGGCUUUAUUAAGGGUUUGAGAGAAGUCUUCAGACAAAGACUCUACAUCUAAACCAGAUCCAUUACUUACACACAGCUUUAAAAGUCCAGCACCCACGGCUUAAAAAAACAAGUCUUUAGACAGAGACUGUGAUUGUAAACGUAUUUGUACCCUCGGCUUGCAAGAAAGGUCUUUAGACAAAGACAGUGAUUGAAAACGUAUUCAUCACAUUUGUACCCACGGCUUGCAAAAAAAGUCUUUAGACAGAAACUGUGAUUGUAAACGUCUUCAUCACAACAGUACCCACGGCUUUGCAAGAAAAAGAUUGUGAUUGAAAACGUAUUCAUCACAUUUGUACCCCACAGCUUUGUAAAAAAGUUCUAGACAAAGACUGUGAGUGAACAAGUCUUCAUCACAUCAGUACCCACGGCUUGCCUAAAAAUAAGUUUUCAGACAAAGACUGAAUGAAAAUGUCUUCAUCACAUUUGAACUUGUUGGAUAGAAAAAAACAUUCAGUCCCAUAAAGCAAGCCUUAAGAAAAAGACUAUAUAUAACCUUAUUUUACACUUACAGGGUAACUAUGAGGCAUUUUGCGUCAACUAAAGACUAAUUAGAUUUAUGAUUUCCUCAGGUUUUGUAUGUGCUUCAGAAGACUCAGAGACGAUUUCAAGUGUAUCAGAUUUCUUUGACAGGUAUUGUUCGUAUCCUCAUUGACGCUUGUUCAGGUUUUGUGUCUGGAACAUAUUGUGAUGGCUGGAACUGUGUGAAUUGUUUCAACAAAGUUGACAAUGAACCUGCAAGACGAGAUGCUGCUGAAACAACUAUGGAGCGGAAUCCAAAUGCGUUCAGUCCAAAAAAAUUGCUAGCAGUCCACAUGGUGUUAGAGAUAAACUCAUAAAAGGGAGGAGAUUGGUAAAGUUGUAUUGUUAGGGAAACAUAACAAAGGAUGUCACUGCAAGAAAUCAGGAUACUUUAAGAAGUAUUGUGAGUGCUUUCAAGCAAACAAUCUUUGUUCAGAGAACUGGGAUUGCAAAAACUUUGAAGGAAGUGAGGAGAGACAAGCUCUGUUUCACGGUGAACAUGCCAACAACAUAGCUUAUCUCCACCAAGAAGCAAAUGCAGCCAUACAUGAAGCUGUUGGUUCCUCUGGCUUUUCCCUUUCUCCAGAACCUUAAAAUUGUAUAGGGACUUCAAGAAUCUAAACACGAAGAAGCUACUCUUCCUGAUUUUGAGGUUCAACUUUGACAGCAUUUCAAUCGGCUUCCUGCUAGGUAAUCAAUCAUAUUCUGCUUACUCUACAUUGAUUUGGCUGGUUCAUUAGGGUUUUGUUUUCUCUUGAUUUGAUCAAUUAGAUUAUAGAAUAGAAGGUUUUACAUUCAGAGGCAGUGUAUCUUCUUCUAGAACCUGGCAAACAAGCACAGAAUGUGGUUUCAUCCUCCAAAAUCUCCAGUCAGAACUUUCUUUUGUUCUUCAAUCCCUAAGGGCUCAUCCGAAUGAAGUUGUGAAAGUAAUGUUCUUCUUUUUUUUUUUUUUUUUUUUUAAAGUAAUGUUCUUCGAUCAAAUCAAAACGAUCGAAUCAAAAUUUAAGGAUAUUUUACCCAUAGUGAUAUCCCUUGGCUUAUUUUGGGUUGAUGAUUUCAUGUUGGAUAUUGAGAUAAAUUUUGUGAACUUGGAGAACCUCUGUGAUGAUUGGGGGUUCAAAGAGAAUGAGAUCAUAGACGCCCAUAAUAUGCUACGGUCUACACAGGCAAACCUAGCAGUGCUUGAAGGAAAGAUAAUGUAUGCUUUGCUCAUUACUUAUUUACAAAAAGAGGAAGCCUAUGCUAUUGUCUCUCACAUUGGUAAAAUUAUUUUUCUUCUAAAGACGCACAAAGGAUUGUACGAGAGAAACAUAGCAAACUAGAUCAUACUAGGAGAGAUUUAGUUUACUCCGGACUGCAUCCAUAGUAUGGCCUAACUCAGCCUCAGAAGUUAUAUUGACGGGUUCAUUUGAUGGUUGGUCAACCCAGGCCAAUUCAUACCAAUAAAAGAAAAAAAAUUGGAUUAAUCAAACUGCUUCACAUCCACUUAAUUUGUUUUAUGAUUUUGCAAGCAGAGUAAAAUGAAGUAAGCACAGAUAUAGUCUUCUUUUUAUACUUGUGAUGGAUAUGAAAACAAUCUGAUCAUCAUCUCGUGAGAUCAUAGACAACAAUAUUGGAGUUAAUAUUGUACCGGUUAUUAAUGUUUGUAUGUUGCAUUAAACCGGUGUGAACCGUCUUAGUAUAUAAGUGAUACAUUGAUUGUUAACAGAACGUUGAAUCAGAUCAUCAAUAACAAACUUUAGUUUUUCAUCAUUUCUCUGAGCUUGAGCUCAGUUCUUCAUCAUCUAAUAAACAACAUUAUAGAGAUAAUUUCACCGUUGUUCAAAAAAAAAAAAAGAGAUAAUCUCACCAUCCAUGGAGCAUGGCAGCAUGCAC